UGUAUAAUAGUGUAAACAGCACAAAAAGUUUUGAUCUUUUAAGAACAGGUGAAAUUCCAGUGUGUAUAU
This 69-nucleotide transfer RNA is filed under the name Austropotamobius pallipes (white-clawed crayfish). RNAcentral describes it as "tRNA-Gln". The record is from RNAcentral. Lineage: Eukaryota; Metazoa; Arthropoda; Malacostraca; Decapoda; Astacidae.